Molecule: ribosomal RNA, 167 nt
Filed under: Cynoglossus joyneri (red tonguesole)
Lineage: Eukaryota; Metazoa; Chordata; Actinopteri; Pleuronectiformes; Cynoglossidae
Description: partial 12S small subunit ribosomal RNA
Source: RNAcentral
AACCGCGGUUAUACGAAAGGCCUAAGUUGAUGAAUAGCGGCGUAAAGCGUGGUUAGGGAACCUCUACACUAAAGUUGAACCCCUUCCUAGUCGUUUAAAACUUAUGAAGGUGAGAAAUACACCUACGAAAGUGACUUUAUACCCCUGACCCCACGAAAGCUAGGAUA